RNAcentral lists this ribosomal RNA (254 nucleotides) under uncultured bacterium. RNAcentral's name for it is "partial 16S ribosomal RNA". It matches the Rfam family "Bacterial small subunit ribosomal RNA", at positions 524 to 776 of the family's 1533-position model. The record is from RNAcentral.
UACGAAGGGUGCAAGCGUUACUCGGAAUUACUGGGCGUAAAGCGUGCGCAGGCGGUUGUGCAAGACAGAUGUGAAAUCCCCCGGGCUCAACCUGGGAACUGCAUUUGUGACUGCACGGCUGGAGUGCGGCAGAGGGGGAUGGAAUUCCGCGUGUAGCAGUGAAAUGCGUAGAUAUGCGGAGGAACACCAAUGGCGAAGGCAAUCCCCUGGGCCUGCACUGACGCUCAUGCACGAAAGCGUGGGGAGCAAACAGG